This 120-nucleotide ribosomal RNA is filed under the name Aplanochytrium stocchinoi. Its description in RNAcentral is "partial Eukaryotic small subunit ribosomal RNA". The record is from RNAcentral. Lineage: Eukaryota; Bigyra; Thraustochytrida; Thraustochytriidae.
UUUAGAAUCAGAACUCAAAUCCAAGUGCCCGCAUUGUCAAUGUAAGUAUGCGCCAAAUAGAGUUCGAGAACCAGAUCAAGUUAAAAACAAGAAUGAUGAAAUUUUAUUGGCCUGUGGAGA